Molecule: ribosomal RNA, 440 nt
Filed under: uncultured bacterium
Lineage: Bacteria
Description: partial 16S ribosomal RNA
Rfam family: Bacterial small subunit ribosomal RNA
Source: RNAcentral
CCUACUGGAGGCAGCAGUGGGGAAUAUUGCACAAUGGGGGAAACCCUGAUGCAGCGACGCCGCGUGAGUGAAGAAGUAAUUCGUUAUGUAAAGCUCUAUCAGCAGGGAAGAAAAUGACGGUACCUGAGUAAGAAGCCCCGGCUAACUACGUGCCAUCAGCCGCGGUAAUACGUAGGGGGCAAGCGUUAUCCGGCUUUACUGGGUGUAAAGGGCGAUUAGACGGCAGUGCAAGGCUGGAGUGAAAGGGGGGGGCUCAACCCCCGGACUGCUCUGGAAACUGUACGGCGUGAGUGGAGGAGAGGUAAGUGGAAUUCCUAGGGUAGCGGUGAAAUGCGUAGAUAUUAGGAGGAACACCAGUGGCGAAGGCGGCUUACUGGACUGUAACUGACGUUGAGGCUCGAAAGCGUGGGGAGCAAACAGGAUUAGAUACCCUUGUAGUC